AUGAACGCUGGCGGCGUGCCUCAUACAUGCAAGUCGAGCGAACAGACGAGGAGCUUGCUCCUCUGACGUUAGCGGCGGACGGGUGAGUAACACGUGGAUAACCUACCUAUAAGACUGGGAUAACUUCGGGAAACCGGAGCUAGUACCGGAUAAUAUAUUGAACCGCAUGGUUCCAUAGUGAAAGACGGUUUUGCUGUCACUUAUAGAUGGAUCCGCGCCGCAUUAGCUAGUUGGUAAGGUAACGGCUUACCAAGGCAACGAUGCGUAGCCGACCUGAGAGGGUGAUCGGCCACACUGGAACUGAGACACGGUCCAGACUCCUACGGGAGGCAGCAGUAGGGAAUCUUCCGCAAUGGGCGAAAGCCUGACGGAGCAACGCCGCGUGAGUGAUGAAGGUCUUCGGAUCGUAAAACUCUGUUAUUAGGGAAGAACAAAUGUGUAAGUAACUAUGCACGUCUUGACGGUACCUAAUCAGAAAGCCACGGCUAACUACGUG
This 496-nucleotide ribosomal RNA is filed under the name uncultured bacterium. Its description in RNAcentral is "partial 16S ribosomal RNA". It matches the Rfam family "Bacterial small subunit ribosomal RNA", at positions 29 to 507 of the family's 1533-position model. The record is from RNAcentral.